CGUCGUCCCACAACUGAAACACAGGAGAUUGAUUAUGGCUGCGGAUUGUUUGAUGAUUGUGAACACAAGGUGGCGUGCUGAGGAUAAUUAUUUUUAGCAGUGUCACUUGGAGAAUAUUAGCCAAAGUCUUUAGACACAGGCUGAGAGAAAAUAUUACGCCAGUACCACGAUGAGGAUAAGUAAUAUUCGUUUAACCAUUGAAGACGGAUUUUCAACAGAAAAAAAGGAAUAUAAAUAGGAAUCAAAUCUGGCUCUGCCAAUUUUUAGAUGCUAAUGAUUUAAAUCGCCCGAUUUUAUACUGCUUGCUCCUAUUAUUAGCGAGCUCUCUCGUUGGAAGUGUUUUCAUAAAAAAAAAUGCUCCCUCGUUAUUUCGUAGGUGAAUGUCCAAAAACAUCACGUUGGACUCAUUAUUUUCACCACUCGAGUGAAGAAUACCCCUCACCUAGAAUGACAUGAGUGUUGACUGCUAUGCAGGAUCAGCUGGGUAUGACGAUCAUUUUUUGCUCUUUUUGGUUGGAUUCUUCUGGGGUGUUGAUGGCCUUCCAGUCUGCGUCGCAAUCAUACCGCCGUACUGA
Long non-coding RNA from Diachasmimorpha longicaudata, 575 nucleotides. RefSeq lists it as uncharacterized. Lineage: Eukaryota; Metazoa; Arthropoda; Insecta; Hymenoptera; Braconidae. The record is from RefSeq and is a predicted model, not a curated record. The transcript has 2 exons.